AUUGAACGCUGGCGGCAGGCCUAACACAUGCAAGUCGAGCGGAUGAAGGGGGCUUGCUCCUGGAUUCAGCGGCGGACGGGUGAGUAAUGCCUAGGAAUCUGCCUGGUAGUGGGGGAUAACGUCCGGAAACGGGCGCUAAUACCGCAUACGUCCUGAGGGAGAAAGUGGGGGAUCUUCGGACCUCACGCUAUCAGAUGAGCCUAGGUCGGAUUAGCUAGUUGGUGGGGUAAAGGCCUACCAAGGCGACGAUCCGUAGCUGGUCUGAGAGGAUGAUCAGUCACACUGGAACUGAGACACGGUCCAGACUCCUACGGGAGGCAGCAGUGGGGAAUAUUGGACAAUGGGCGAAAGCCUGAUCCAGCCAUGCCGCGUGUGUGAAGAAGGUCUUCGGAUUGUAAAGCACUUUAAGUUGGGAGGAAGGGCAGUAAGUUAAUACCUUGCUGUUUUGACGUUACCAACAGAAUAAGCACCGGCUAACUUCGUG
This 484-nucleotide ribosomal RNA is filed under the name uncultured bacterium. Its description in RNAcentral is "partial 16S ribosomal RNA". It matches the Rfam family "Bacterial small subunit ribosomal RNA", at positions 30 to 507 of the family's 1533-position model. The record is from RNAcentral.